AGAGCGCACAUUGCGAUCAAGUAGUGUACACAUUGUAGCCUAUGUCUUUAAGAAUCAUUAUGCCCUGUAUUAGACCUAGGAGGAGUCCGCUGGCUCACUGUACGAAAUGAGGGGUUGUUAGAUGCACUUGGAUUACCGGUUGGUGAAGUGAAACAACGUUAACAACCGCUGACUAAGGUCGAUAGAGCGCUUGUUUUAAAAGUAGUCGGUUGCUGUCCUCAAUUAAGCAGAGAACACUGCUUUUGUCAUUAGUUAACGACCUAAUUGCUUGAUUGAACCAAGGGGAUAUUAUGACUUAGAGAAAUAUUUUGAAUCUGGCUGUCAUUCUGUGGCAUUCAAUGGAGACGCAGACGAUGGAAUUCAGACGUGAAAUUUUCAGCUCACUCCGUGGUGCUGUCCCUGAUCCAACUCUUUAAAUACGGGUUUGGAGAUUGUUCUGACACCGUCGUUUUAACCUCAGAGUUUGGAAUCAAACAGGAUGGAUACAACGACCAGCUUGUUUUUGCUAUCCUUCAUUUUGGGCUUGCCGGCCACGGGAGCCAUGGAGACCAGUCCGGACCCUGCGCUGGCGCCAGGGGAACUGUCCCUCCAGCCUGCGCUGGCGGCCAUGGAGAGCGCGCGGCAGACUAUGCUGGACGGACACCACCAGUGCAUGGAGAUGCUGGGCCGCGAGGCACCUCGCAAUAGAACCGGGCCUUAUUGUAAUCGAACCUGGGACGGCUUGCUGUGCUGGGAUGAGACACCUGCGGGGACCUUUGCCACCCUCAGCUGCCCUGACUACCCGGGCCUCGACACUUCAGAGAAAGUUACCAAAUACUGUGAUGAAUCUGGCUAUUGGUUCCAAAGUCCUUCUGUCAAUAGGACCUGGGCUCAUUGUCUCGCGUAUCCAAAAGACAAGCUCAAAAUACAGCAGAGUAUAUCCACCCUUGGUUCUCUGGAGCCCAACCCAAAUGCUGUGGAGGAAAGGACAAAAAUUAUGGACGGCCAAUACAAAUGCUUUGAGAAGAUGAACAUGGAUCGGCCGUACAACAAGUCAGGACUGUUCUGCAACCGGACUUGGGAUGGGUGGAUGUGCUGGGACGACACUCCAGCUGGUACCUACGGCAUCCAGAACUGCCCCAACUACUUCCCAGAUUUUGAUCCCACUGAAAAGGUCACCAAAUAUUGCGACGAGCAUGGGAAUUGGUUCCGGCACCCUGACACAAACAGAAGCUGGUCCAACUACACGCUGUGCACAGCGUACACGUAUGGCAAAGUCAGGAUGGUGUACGUCCUCUACUACAUGGCGGUGGUUGGCCAUUCUCUCUCCCUGGUGUCCCUCCUGAUCUCCCUGGCCAUAUUUUUCUAUUUCAGGAGUCUAAGCUGUCAGCGGAUUACACUGCACAAGAACCUCUUCACUUCCUACGUGCUCAACUCCACCAUUACCAUCAUCUAUUUCAUAUGCGUGGUCAACAAUCCUAAAAUGAUGGCACAUUAUCCUAUGAGUUGUAAGAUGCUGCAGUGCUUGAACUGGUACCUGCUGGGCUGCACAUACUUCUGGAUGCUGUGUGAGGGUGUGUACCUGCACACGCUCAUCGUGGUGGCCGUGUUUGCUGAGGAACAACACCUGUACUGGUACUACCUCCUAGGAUGGGGAUUCCCCUUGGUGCCUACAGUCAUCCUGGCCAUCGCCAGAAAACAGUACUUUGAUGACCACUGUUGGCUAAGUUUAGAAACCCAUCUGCUUUAUGUGGUGCACGGACCUAUCGUGGCAGCGUUGCUGGUGAAUCUGUUCUUCUUGCUGAACAUCGUGCGGGUUCUGGUGACCAAGCUGCGGAACACUCACCGGGCCGAGUCCAACAUGUACAUGAAGGCGGUGCGGGCCACGCUCAUCCUGGUGCCGCUGCUGGGCAUCCAGUUUGUCAUCCUACUGUGGCGACCCGAGAACCGCCUGGCCGGCGAGAUCUAUGACGUCGUGAUCAACAUGCUCACGCACAACCAGGUGAGAAAGGCCGAUAGAUUAGGCAGGCAGAGCAGAUGUAGGACACACUGGACUUGAGAUAUCUACGAUGUUGUCAGGAGUUGUCCACCUGCCAGGUCUUUGUGUGUGUGUGUGUGUGUGUGUGUGUGUGUGUGAGAGAGAGAGAGAGAGAGAAAAAGUCACUCUUAGGAAAGAGAGUGUUUGAGAUUGAUGCAAAUGAAGGAGUGAAAGAGAAAUGUAGACUGAGAGAUUUUGGAAAGACAUAAGGGGCAACUUUUAUUGUAAUCAUAGUAUGUUGAGAAGAGAGAAACUUCACAGUAAUCCUAUGUUUGUUUUUGUUAGUUGCAUGUAUUUGCUAAUCAAAAUAGCUUGUGAAACCAGGAGAAGGAGCUCCAGCCUCCCACUCCCAUCUGUAGCUGCAGUAGGCGAGAGGAAAGUGUUUCCUUUUCCUCACUUGUUGGCCCUUUGAGGCCUGUGCAUCAGGACUUGAUACUCACAUUUCCCGUUUUGAAACACCCAAAGCCCUGUCAAGAUGAACAAGACCAGGCAUUAGUCUCAGCCAAAUAAUCACUUCUCUCUUCUACGCCU
RNA transcript from Alosa sapidissima (American shad), 2548 nucleotides. It is a transcript of the gene named calcitonin receptor, with no coding region annotated. The transcript has 15 exons. The record is from RefSeq and is a predicted model, not a curated record. Lineage: Eukaryota; Metazoa; Chordata; Actinopteri; Clupeiformes; Clupeidae.